Molecule: ribosomal RNA, 253 nt
Filed under: uncultured bacterium
Lineage: Bacteria
Description: partial 16S ribosomal RNA
Rfam family: Bacterial small subunit ribosomal RNA
Source: RNAcentral
UACGAAGGGGGCUAGCGUUGCUCGGAAUUACUGGGCGUAAAGCGCACGUAGGCGGCUUCUUAAAUCGGUGGUGAAAUCCUGGAGCUCAACUCCAGAACUGCCUUCGAUACUGGGAAGCUCGAGUCCGGGAGAGGUGAGUGGAACUGCGAGUGUAGAGGUGAAAUUCGUAGAUAUUCGCAAGAACACCAGUGGCGAAGGCGGCUCACUGGCCCGGUACUGACGCUGAGGUGCGAAAGCGUGGGGAGCAAACAGG